GCAUCAUCUGAAAUCUGGGCUUGGGUGGGAGGAGGAAUGGAUGCUGGCCUUUCAAUUCUGGAUUUGACUCCAGCCCCACAGCCUCAGCCACCCCAGCCAAUUACUAUGGGAAC
Molecule: microRNA precursor, 113 nt
Filed under: Myotis lucifugus (little brown bat)
Lineage: Eukaryota; Metazoa; Chordata; Mammalia; Chiroptera; Vespertilionidae
Description: miRNA (ENSMLUG00000018038.2)
Source: RNAcentral